Molecule: long non-coding RNA, 2266 nt
Organism: Mustela lutreola (European mink)
Lineage: Eukaryota; Metazoa; Chordata; Mammalia; Carnivora; Mustelidae
Exons: 3
Source: RefSeq, a predicted model, not a curated record
UUCGGGCCUUGCAGAAGCUGUAAGGAGGAGACAGUUAUUAAAAGAAGGGCAGAGACCUGGAACAGACAGGGAGAGGCUGAUCCGGCUCGGAGCUGUCUCCACAGCUGCCCUCUCCCCAGGCGAGGCUCAGCCCUCAGCUGGCAUGGGGAGGGGGAAGAAAGGUCACUGCUCACUCCUGCCCCUUCCUUCCCCAUCUGAAACCCUGUGCUCCGUGGCCUUUAUGCUGGCAGAAAGGUUCCCGGAAGAACACCUGGGGUGUGAAGCAGCCCUGGGCUGGUGCUGAGCCCUGACAAAGGGAAAGACGCCGGCCAGCACCUGGGACCCGGGUCUGGGCUCCAGGUCCUGAGCUGAGUGGUCUGAAGUGAGCUCACAGCUGACACCAAGAGAAACAGAGGUGAGCCAGCAGAAGGCAGGUGUCAUUGCGGACAGGCCUCUUAGAGUAGCGUUCAAUAAUUAACAUCAUGUUAAUAACCAGCUUCAGUCCAAUUAGCCAAAGAUGUUAACUGAGUGACAUAAGAUACCAAACCCGGCCUCUCUACCUUGAGAGAAGCACUCUUACUUUCUAGAGUGGAGAUGAGAUGGUAAAAACCAGAAGUGAGUUUAUAUUCAGCACAUGGGUGUUUUUCUGGCAUUCUGAUUUAUACUAAAUAUUAGACACCAAACAGAAAAUGGCCAACACGGGCCUCCUGGAGGAUUCUGGCAUAUUCCGUCUCACAGACCACGGAGCCGGCUAGAAGAGAUGCGCUCAGCAUGGGUUGUACACCUGGAAGAAGGGUCACAAGAAGGCAGGGAAGAAGGCAGUGUCCGGACUCUGGGGCAAAGGUGGAAAGAGAACUGUACGAAGCAAAAGGAAGGGGCCAGGCUGCUUAUCCUAGAGGGAGCUGCGACUUCCCCAAGCACUACAGAAACCCCCUUUUCUGAGCCCAUCCACCCCACAACUGGGGGAAGGGCCAGGGCAGCCACUUUGCAUCCCACCAGCCCGAAGGAAACCUCCGAAGCCCUGAUGAAGCGCCCUUUCCUCAAUUCCCACAUCUUCCCAAGCGAUGCCCACCACUGGCCCUGUACUCCGCUCUCCGGCCUCAAACCUAGGCCCGGUAGGUGGUGGUAGCACUGUCCUGGGGCUGGACGCCAGGCCCAGCCCAAGUGGGCACUUCUCUCCCCUACCACGGGCUGCGGGGCUGCCAAGUUGGGCUCAAGGACCGAAUUUUCACUUCCUAUUGCGUAUGGGGCCGAGAAGAAAGAACUGUUCAGCUUGAUUUUAAAAUAUGACAAGGGAUCUGAGCCCUCUCUAAUCCUUCGAUCUUUAGAAAUACUUGAUUCUUUUUUGUAGGGGGGAGUGCAGAGUAGGCAUCAAGACUGCCUCUGAGACCCCCACACCCCCCACCCGGUUUGACUUUCCCACCAGCCCGCCGCCUGGGAAACGCGCCCUCGGCUGGCACAGGGGUACCAGAGCCCGGCUCCUUUCUUCCUUUCUUUCUUUUUUAAAUCGCUCUAGCGCAAACCAGGCAGUGGGUCAGGGCCCAGAGGCGGGGGAGGGAAGAGGCGAGGGUUGUCUCUGAAAGAGGGGAAAAAAAGGAAAGCGAGGCUCCAACUCCAGGAGAAGAACGGCCGCCGCAAGUUUCCCGGCUUGUGCCAGUUUGGGGAUUUGCGAAUCAGACCGGAGCGGAGGGACAGGCGGGCGAGAAAAAAAAGCCCGCAUUAAAACUAACCAGCUCUGCCUAAAAGCCCGCUUUUCACCCUUAAAUAAGACAAUGACGAGGGGAGAGAAGAGACGAGUUAUUUCUCACUCUUUAAUUAUUCCAAUGCUUAGCAUUAUUUAAAAAAAAAAAAAAAACCACACACAUUAGCCAAUGAUACAUUCUAACCCUCAACAAAGCUGGUAUUUUUCUCUGAUUACAGACUUUGCCGCGGCAAACCCGGGCUCCGACGACAGAGGCAGCGCCGAAGCGCGCUCCUAAAUGAGACACAAUUUUAUUAAAAUCAUAAUAAUUCCUUGCAUUUCUAUAGUGCCUUUUCAGCAGUGGAUACCCCAGGUGCCCAUGCCCGGUUCUACGAGGGAACUGGCGACCAAAAACUCAGUCGUGAGGCAGGCGAGGCUCGCCAGCUCCACAGAGUGCCACCGGCAUGUAUUUCCUUCUUUUUUUAACAGCUCGUUUCCAUCAGCCUCUGUCUCACGCUUAAAAAAAAAAAAAGAAAGUAACAAAACUCUUAAAAUCUUAAAAAUAUAUAUAUUUUUUUUUAAAGGAGGGAAAAGAUGACCUGUAAU